CUAGAGCCAAGGGAGUUUGCCCUCUGGGUUGUUGAAAGACAAUCUCAUGUCCCAUUGGUACUUGAUCUUUUCCUUCUUGAAACAGACAAAAAAGACCCGUAGGCAUCAGUGCGUCUGGAGAGCCCCCAGGAAGUCUAUGGGGAGGUGCUGCGGUAAAGGGACCCCCUUCCCACUAGGGCAUACGCCUUCCCACCCAGUCCCCAGCCAAGUCAGAUAAAAAGGUCUAGCCCCGGAAUGAUGGAGGAGGAGCCAGGAAAAGGAGUGUUGGGGAGUCCCCCUUCUAGGUAAAGGCCAGGAAACAGAAAAGGAAGAGAUACUGUUUUGAGAAAAGCGCAAGACUCAGUUUCAACCGCAUUUCAUCAGAAGCCUCGUUGGAGAUAGGGGUGGCCUAGUUGCUGAGUCCUGCUGUGCUCAGGUGAGACCUAUUGGAGCUCCGCCCUCGCCUGCCUUGUCUCACCUGACGUGUGAGUGCGUGCCUCUGUGCAUGAGCGGAGAGGCAAAGGGAGCUAACUGUAAUACAAGGACUCCAAGAUGAAGGGAGCGAGGGUAGGAAACGAACUCCUGGAUCGGCUGAGCAGCUGGAACCUCUCACAGGUGGCAGGGGACCGGGCAGGCAUUGCCCCAGGGCCUCAGGGAAGCCGGCCCCGGAGCCUGGCAGCUCCACCCUGGCAAUCUCACGCCUCCUCUCAGUGCCCCACUGGGCGUCAGCUCGGCUUCAGGUGCUGACCUACGUGUUGGAAACGCGAAGAGGAGCGGGACACGGUCCUCCACCCUGAAGAACUCAUGAUUUGGAGGACACAGAUGUGACUAGGGACAAGUGAGAUAAGCGGGCGAAGUCCUCAGUAUUCAGGGGCACUGGAUCCUGUGCCAACCCGGCAGGUGAGAAAAGACACCUGUGGGGGGUCACCUGUGGGCAGCGUCUCAGAGACGGGACGGCUUUGCCGAAGAAGCGGGGCGGGGAUCGCGCUCCUGGCAGGUGGGCUGUGCGAGCCCUGGCGCGAGGUGUAGAGGGCUCGGCCUGGUUGGAGCCAAGGCCAGGACCGUGUUUUGGUUUGGGAGGAGUGUGGGGAAGUCUGGGGGUGACACAUGAAAUGGAGAAAUGAGCAGGGUGGUUCAGAAUGCCUGGAAAGAUCACCCAGAGGCCAGGGACACCACUGUAGGUUCCCAAAGGGCAGCGGAGCCAUCGGGUUUGGGUUUUCCAAAGAUCUCUUCUUGCACGCACUUCUGCUUUUUUCGGGAUGACGCUGCCUGGGAAAUCUGGUACGAAGAGAGAGGCGGUAAAUGUUUCCAGGAAAUAAAAAGUCCUCUGCUGCGCA
Molecule: long non-coding RNA, 1316 nt
Organism: Marmota flaviventris (yellow-bellied marmot)
Lineage: Eukaryota; Metazoa; Chordata; Mammalia; Rodentia; Sciuridae
Source: RefSeq, a predicted model, not a curated record